Cyanistes caeruleus (blue tit) is the source of this 5747-nucleotide non-coding RNA. NCBI's taxonomy places the organism in Eukaryota, Metazoa, Chordata, Aves, Passeriformes, Paridae. The record is from RefSeq and is a predicted model, not a curated record.
CAGAAGGGACUAAGCAUUAUGAAGAUGAUUUCAAGUCCACGGACAACAAAUGAAUUGAAUUUUGAGUGAAAAGUAAAAAUUUACACUCUAAAGUUAAAGCUAUAAUGGCAGGAUAUCUAAAAAUGCAAUACUGAGUAUUUUGAAAAGAGAAAGAAAGUGAGAUCUAACCUUUAUAACAAGAAAACAUGCAAGACCAAGAGUAAGCUUUGAAAGAUAAAUUUAUCCCACUUACAUAUAACUGCUGCUUGCUAAAGCUGUCUCUGCCUAGUUAAAAAAGAUUGAUGAAAAAAUGCUAAAUAAUAGAAAUGGAAAAGUAUGCAUUUCAUACAAGUGAAGCAGCAAGCAUGAGAAUAAGCAGAUUGCCUAAUAAUCAAUGUAUGCCUAAAUGGUUGGCAGGGAUAUCUUUUAAAACCAGUGCUCAAAGUCAUGCAAAAGAGAAGAGAUGGCACAGGUCCUUCUAUGCACUAUGCACUAUGUCACUAUGGCAGUGACACUUUUGUUCCUAAAUUAUUUUUGUAACUUGCACUGUAUUGUAAUUCUGUUACUUUCACAAAAUACAUGUGAAAAUUAUGUUGUUUAUCUAGAACACUUAAAGAAUUGUCUGUGAAAGAAAACAUGAUCAGAAAAAGAUCAUUCUAAGUGGCCUGAUUGAAACUGAAGUCUCAAAAAGGGGUUUUGGCCCUUUACCUGAAUGCUACAAAUUUCUGUUUUCAGUCUGCUUAGUUUCCUGGACUAGAAAGCACAGUUACAAAACACUUAUUCAAGGAAAUAUAAUUUUGAUUCCUGCAGCUUAGGAGGCUUCAGCAUAAUUUUCUCAUCUGCUUCUCUAUUUCACUCACUUACUUGAACAACUUUCUCUCCUCUGCUUGAGUUGAAGUAACCUUUCAUCAGCAUCAUUCCAACCAUCUCUUUCUUUCAGCUUCAUCACUACCAGAUGGCAUGGUGUAGUAUUAACAUGUUUACAUUUUAGAUUCUCUCCUCCCACACAGUAGGUACCUGGGACUUGUUUGGCUACAAAAAAAUAGUGGUGGGAAAGUCUCCAUUAUUUCCUAGAGAAAUUUUAGGAGAAGAAUGAAAAAUUCUCUGUAUCUCACAAAACAAAAGAAACAUAUAUUUACUGAACCCUUCUAUAUUGCAUGAAAUUUUAUAAGCUUGCCACAGCUUUGUGUACAAGAGUAGCAGAGAAGGUCUUAUCUAAAAUGCAGUAUAGUUAUGUUUCAGAUGUUUCAGAUUAUGACAUUUCAGCCUUUUCUGGAAUAGAAAUAUGACUUCUGAAUGUCAGUGCCAUUUCAAAAUCAUUUAUUGCUGAGCUCUAAUAAUUUUUUUUUCCUUUAAAGUGUCAUUUUAUUCAUUGCAUAUUCAUUAGGGUCUUGUUCUCAGCCGUAACUUCUAAGACCUAAUCUAACAUGAACAAAACAAUAUUUAAAUCAAAAAAAAUUUGAACUCAGAUUAGAGCACUCAUAUCUUCUUCAAGCUCUUUGCCUUGGUGCCAGGUAAUAUAUUUCUCCUUCUGACAUGAAUACACACAUGGUUUUACUAAGCUAUAUGUGGUAGAUACCUUUGCAUUAUUUCUUUCCCACAUCCAUAUUUAUCAAAAAUCUUUUCAAAAUGCUAAUAUAAUCCUAAAUGUUGGGAAGAAAACAUCAGUUAGAGGGGAAAUUUGAAAGGGUCAGUCUUCAGUUUACUGGUGUUUAUUUCUUCUAAAUGUUGAAUUUUAAUACUUGUUAUUUUUAUCCAGCUUCCUGGCCUUUUGUGACCAUUGUUUGGAGAAAGACAAGUGAACAGCAAAAGACUGGAUGAAAAAGAUUUACAGCAGCUUUUCCCUCGUUAGUUACAUGUAAUUAUAGCAAAGCACUGAGUGGGUACCACUUUGCCAUGCACCUGAAGCAUUUUUUCCUUGACAGUGCACUGAUAGUUUAGUAACACAGCCCCUACUGUGACUGACAGUUGGUUUUGGACUAAAUCAUAUAAAAUUGAAUAGGAGACGGUGGCUAUUGGCUAGUUCAGCCAAAGUCCAUUUGGCAGAGUAGAUUAACCUCCAUGAAGCUCUGCAUUAUUGCACAGCUCCAUGCGAUGCUAGUGUCUGCAGCACAGGUUUACCCUUUAGCUUGGCUACUAAGAGUAGCCAAAGGUAGCACUGUAGAAAAGCAGAGAUUCACUGGAAAGGCUUUCUUUAGCAGCAACAAAGAUUAGAUGUGUGCCAAACACAUCAAUAUGGCAGAUGACCUGACAGAACUGGUAGUUAAAACAAUUUAGUCUUCUCAGGAAUGUUGUUCCUGGGGUAAAAGCUCAAACCUCAGCUCACUCAAAAUAAAAUUAUUCCAGCGCAUCAUUUCUGUAGUUAACACCUUAGGAUGGAAAAAUGAGUAAAUGAAUACUGUUGCUUCAACACUUUUAUCUACUUCAUUUAGUAUUUUCCAAGAGCCAGUUCAAUGCCAUCUGAAUCUGUAAAUUACAAAAAUGAAAAGCAUUUAAGUCUGUUGAUUGGGGAUAAACGCAAAUAGAAUAUUUCUACUGAAGAAGCCAAAUAUGAAGGUAAUCUAAGAAAUUGCAUUAAUGUAAGCUUUUGCCUAGAAUCGCAGAUGAGUCUAGUCAUCAGUCAUCAGGGAGAGAUGAGAAAAUGAACAGGAGAGUAAGAAGAGGUUGAAUGGAAACAUGGUAUAAGUCCUGCCAUCUGACCUCUGCCAGAGCCCAGUGUGGAUGGGAGUACCUGUGUGAGUUUUCCAAACCAAGUUUGUGUUCUUCUCAAGGGUGCCAGGACUUCAAGAUUAGGGCUUCCAGCUGAUCUGCACAGACCCAAGUGAAGGAGGAGAUUGUCAUAUACAGACAUGCUUUACUUUAGACACCUAGACCAGCUGAUAUUCAAGGUCUUUGCAGGAUGGAGGACUCAUUCACUUGCAAAUAAUCUGUCCUGGAAUCUAUAUCCCAGAAGAAACACUGACCAAACAGGGCUCAGCUAUCUGGAAAGUUGAUAGUGGUGUGUACAGACAUCUCCUUGUUAGCUCUGGACUGGGCCAUUUUCAAGAUAGAUGGCUUUAAUCCUAUGAAUAGGAUACUCCAACUCAGAGCAGAAAUAUCCCACAUCAUUUCACAGAGCUUCAAGAUGGAACACCUAUUCUUAUGAUAAUAUGUUUGUUUAGAGAAACCUCCCAAGAUCCUCAGUGGCAGUUUUGCCACCCUGAUCACAAAGAAGAAGUAUCAGAACGUGAAGAGAAAGGUCUGGCAGUCCUGCUGAGCAAGAUGAAAACACAAGAAGAGCUAGAAGACUCACAAAAACAAACAACCCCUCCCAACAGUUUUUUUGGUUUUUUUUUCUUUUUCCCAUUUCUCCAAACUAGAAAUUAGGAGAAGUGUUUGUAUAUUGAGGGCAAUAUCCCUACAUUAUUUCAAGUAUUCUUAUCAAUGCUGAUUAUUUAUUAGAAUAUUAUUUCUUCAUACUUGCCAGGUGUGUCCUCUUAAAGUGACUGAAAUCAAAGGGACAUUAAGGCAAAUUCCCCUGCUUCAGCCCAUUUUCUGGGACAGCUGUAAAGAGCUGUGAGAGAGAGGACAAGUCAGCCCCUGGAGGUGUCUACAUCUGGGCUGCUUGCAGAGGCAAGCAAGGGUCCCAGGAGGUUGGACAAACAUCUCCUCGUACAGGAAGCACAGGGAUCCACAUCUCAAAUGUGCAUGCUGCUGAGCCCUGGACUAGCUGGGGUGGACAGACAGCAGCAGCAUUGUCCACAGAGAGGAGGGACAGAGGGAGAUGCCUGAGCAGUUCCUGGGGUGAGAUCCAAGAGGAGCAGGGACUGGGGCUCUGGAGGCAGACUCAGGCACAGGUGUCCGCAACCAGAGUGCCGGAGGGAGGGUCACCUCGCCAGCGUGGGUCCAGAUGGCAUUGCACAUGGCUCUCCUCUUGCCGGAGCCGUGUCUACUGAGGCAGCACCUAAGGUCACGGCAAGCCUUGGCAGAGACCUUGCAGACCUCCCUCUCCCCGCACAGUUGCUUGGAUUUGGAAGGCCAGUGGGUUUGCGAAUGACAAGCUGCUCUCCCCAAGCUGGGGAGAGCUACCUGGUGACCUUCCAGAAGACAGUGCCUACCAGCCUUUGCCCUGGCAUGAGCCACUUGCCUGCUGCAGGAAAAAUAAAGAAAAAGCAAAGCAAUACACAGUGGUGCUCUUCCACCUAUCCUAAAAUUACAGGUGGAGGCUCAGUCAUUCCUUACCUAGAAGACCACUGCAAUAUUAUUUGGCCUGUGAUAAGCACCCAGAGCAGUUGAGAAUAUUGGGCCUGGGCUCAGAGGUAGCAGCUCUCACCAGCCAGUUACGGUGUACCAGGCACUGGUGCUUGUCAAGGGGCCUUGGAUGGUAGAUAUGGUGCCUGAUCAGCUGGUUUUCAACAUUUUCUACUCUAGCCUGGAGCACUGUGUUCUUCCUCCCUGCCUUCUCCAACCCUGUGAGUGGCCAUGUACUGCAGCAAGCAUGCAUAUUGGCGGGACCUUCAUGUGGGAUCAAGUGUUAGGGUGGCUUUAACAAGGAUACCACAGUGACUAUGGGACUGGGGACAAGUCCAAUGACAUGGCACACAGUGUGUGCCCCAGGCAUGACAUUGAAACAGUCCAGGACACUGCCAGGGUACCUCUUUCAUGAAGAAAUGAUAGGAGUCAGAGGAGAUGGUCCUUUCUGGGUCACCAAUAGUUAAAGAUACCUUGAGAUUGACAUGCAGCGACAGAAUAGUCAAACUUCUGCCCAGAAACAUGAACUCCAGGAGUCUUGUGCCUAAUAUAUGGGUUUUAUGGACCUUUUUUACAAGUUCAAAGAGCAUGAAAAUAUGACCUAAAUAUAAUGAAUACAGCCACAGCGAUACUAUAAAUCACUCAAGCUGAAGCAGCAGUACUGUGCUGGAUGGUGCUAUGCACUUCAGUAAAGUAUUAAUAUAAUAAGAGGUCUACCAGUUUAGCUUAUAAAACAUUCCUCAUUCUCAUCCUUGAGUUUAAUUUGUUGUUGAGGCACAUGCCACAGGUUGAGCAUUUCAGCUCAUUUAAGGAGUUAUGACCCAGCACCACACCAUGGCUACCGUAUUCCAAAAGACUGAACAUCACUGUUAAUCACAGCUUCCCAGCAUAUUCAGAGAGGGAAUACCAUAAAAUUGUUUAGUAAACACUGCAUCUGCUUUGAAUAAAGAUGAAAGUCCAAUUUGAAAUAUUUGAAAGUAAUUUUUAAAGAAAAAAGAAAAGUCAUAAAUUCUUAUUACAUGUUUCCACAAAAUCCUUUUCUGCUGCUAUUACAGUGUACCUUCCUGGGAUAAAUGUGUGGUUUACAGCAUCUACAUUACAAUGUAUAACUUUUAGCCCUCACUCAUUUGAUGCUGUAAGACAUGCAGAGACUUUUUUUUUUUCUCUUCAAUCUUCCUUUGGAUGUGAUUUCUUAAGGCAUUUCUACUUGGGGAAAGUUUAGCAGCAUAGCAAUUCCGGGAUAACUACUCUGUGAUAGCUCCCUGUGGACACUUCAUUGCAAUGAAAAAAAAGACUUUAUUUGGGAAUAAUUACCAUGCAUUGUGACUAGUGGAAUAAUUAUUCUAAAAUAAAAACCAGCCUAAUUCCAAGAUAAAGUAUAUACACCCAUGCAGGAGAUUUUGUAUGUUUGCUUAGGGUUUUUUACCAAUGAAUAUGGAUUCUGCACAAGAGUAGCGAGAACACUUUCUUUUUCCCCUAGAAUAGCAAUGUUAGUCCAUUUUUACUUAUAGAUAAGGUUAUGAUAUUGAAUUAAAUAA